AGCUGCAUAAUCUAAGCAGGGAGAUGGCCUCUUUUUGCCUUGAUGAUUCUUGUCUAUUUGACGUCAUAUCGAUCUCCAUGCUUCUAUUGGAUGAGCUUUGAAGUACUAGAUUCCCAGAAAAGUAGAAAAAGGGCUGUCAUGGAGUUGGAUUCUCUGAUGCAAGAAUGUAAUGUAUAGAUUGAUACUCCCAGGAUCUGAUGAAUAUAGGCCAAUAGAGAAGCUCAUGUCAUGUAUUGUCUGAAUUGAAAUGGGCUCUGUAAUUUAUAAAACGAUUGACACCAUGUUGGUAUUCUGAUCAUGUAUCUUUCAACUACUU
This 316-nucleotide unclassified non-coding RNA is filed under the name Hevea brasiliensis (rubber tree). The record is from RNAcentral. Lineage: Eukaryota; Viridiplantae; Streptophyta; Magnoliopsida; Malpighiales; Euphorbiaceae.